AGCAGCCGCGGUAAUUCCAGCUCCAAUAGCGUAUAUUAAAGUUGUUGCAGUUAAAAAGCUCGUAGUUGAAUUUCGGGAUCAGCAGGUCGGUCGUGCCAAUGGUAUGCACUGGCCUUGCUGAUUCCUCCCUCUUGAUGAGCCGUAAUGCCAUUAAUUUGGUGUUGCGGGGAAUCAGGACUGUUACUUUGAAAAAAUUAGAGUGUUUAAAGCAGGCAAGCGCUUGAAUACAUUAGCAUGGAAUAAUGAAAUAGGACGUUUGAUCCUAUUUUGUUGGUUUCUAGGAUUGACGUAAUGAUUAAUAGGGAUAGUUGGGGGCAUUAGUAUUCAAUUGUCAGAGGUGAAAUUCUUGGAUUUAUUGAAGCUAACUACUGCGAAAGCAUUUGCCAAGGAUGUUUUCAUUAAUCAAGAACGAAAGUUAGGGGAUCGAAGACGAUCAGAUACCGUCGUAGUCUUAACCAUAAACUAUGCCGACUAGGGAUCGGAUGAUGUUUAAGUUUUUUAUGUA
This 505-nucleotide ribosomal RNA is filed under the name uncultured Glomus. Its description in RNAcentral is "SSU rRNA". It matches the Rfam family "Eukaryotic small subunit ribosomal RNA", at positions 569 to 1078 of the family's 1831-position model. Lineage: Eukaryota; Fungi; Glomeromycota; Glomeromycetes; Glomerales; Glomeraceae. The record is from RNAcentral.